RNAcentral lists this transfer RNA (73 nucleotides) under Ailuropoda melanoleuca (giant panda). It matches the Rfam family "tRNA". Rfam says of the family: Transfer RNA (tRNA) molecules are approximately 80 nucleotides in length. The record is from Rfam by way of RNAcentral. Lineage: Eukaryota; Metazoa; Chordata; Mammalia; Carnivora; Ursidae.
GCCUGGCUGGCUUAGUUGGUAAAGCAUGUGACUGUUGAUCUCGGGAUUAUGAGUUCGAGCCCCAUGUUGGGUG